GAUGAACGCUGGCGGCGUGCCUAAUACAUGCAAGUCGAGCGAACAGAUAAGGAGCUUGCUCCUUUGACGUUAGCGGCGGACGGGUGAGUGACACGUGGAUAACCUACCUAUAAGACUGUGAUAACUUCGGGAAACCGGAGCUAAUACCGGAUAACAUAUUGAACCGCAUGGUUCAAUAGUGAAAGGCGGCUUUGCUGUCACUUAUAGAUGGGUCCGCGCCGUAUUAGCUAGUUGGUAAGGUAACGGCUUACCAAGGCAACGAUACGUACCCGACCUGAGAGGGUGAUCGGCCACACUGGAACUGAGACACGGUCCAGACUCCUACGGGAGGCAGCAGUAGGGAAUCUUCCGCAAUGGGCGAAAGCCUGACGGAGCAACGCCGCGUGAGUGAUGAAGGUCUUCGGAUCGUAAAACUCUGUUAUCAGGGAAGAACAAAUGUGUAAGUAACUGUGCACAUCUUGACGGUACCUGAUCAGAAAGCCACGGCUAACUACGUGCCAGCCGCCGCAGUAA
RNAcentral lists this ribosomal RNA (513 nucleotides) under uncultured bacterium. RNAcentral's name for it is "partial 16S ribosomal RNA". It matches the Rfam family "Bacterial small subunit ribosomal RNA", at positions 28 to 523 of the family's 1533-position model. The record is from RNAcentral.